This 67-nucleotide transfer RNA is filed under the name Urocitellus parryii (Arctic ground squirrel). Its description in RNAcentral is "Spermophilus parryii (Arctic ground squirrel) tRNA". It matches the Rfam family "tRNA". From Rfam's summary of the family: Transfer RNA (tRNA) molecules are approximately 80 nucleotides in length. Their secondary structure includes four short double-helical elements and three loops (D, anti-codon, and T loops). Further hydrogen bonds mediate the characteristic L-shaped molecular structure. tRNAs have two regions of fundamental functional importance: the anti-codon, which is responsible for specific mRNA codon recognition, and the 3' end, to which the tRNAs corresponding amino acid is attached (by aminoacyl-tRNA synthetases). tRNAs cope with the degeneracy of the genetic code in two manners: having more than one tRNA (with a specific anti-codon) for a particular amino acid; and 'wobble' base-pairing, i.e. permitting non-standard base-pairing at the 3rd anti-codon position. RNAcentral also lists the same sequence under 2 other names. The record is from Rfam by way of RNAcentral. Lineage: Eukaryota; Metazoa; Chordata; Mammalia; Rodentia; Sciuridae.
GGUUGUGGCUCAGCGUUAGAGCACUUGCCUUGCAUGUGUGAGACCCUGGGUUCAAUUCUCAGCACCA